This 209-nucleotide ribosomal RNA is filed under the name uncultured Streptococcus sp. RNAcentral's name for it is "partial 16S ribosomal RNA". It matches the Rfam family "Bacterial small subunit ribosomal RNA", at positions 1174 to 1382 of the family's 1533-position model. The record is from RNAcentral. Lineage: Bacteria; Bacillati; Bacillota; Bacilli; Lactobacillales; Streptococcaceae.
GUGGGAUGACGUCAAGUCAUCAUGCCCCUUAUGACCUGGGCUACACACGUGCUACAAUGGGCGGUACAACGAGUUGCGAGUCGGUGACGGCGAGCUAAUCUCUUAAAGCCAAUCUCAGUUCGGAUUGUAGGCUGCAACUCGCCUACAUGAAGUCGGAAUCGCUAGUAAUCGCGGAUCAGCACGCCGCGGUGAAUACGUUCCCGGGCCUU